Amphimedon queenslandica is the source of this 193-nucleotide long non-coding RNA. RefSeq lists it as uncharacterized. The transcript has 3 exons. Lineage: Eukaryota; Metazoa; Porifera; Demospongiae; Haplosclerida; Niphatidae. The record is from RefSeq and is a predicted model, not a curated record.
UCUCUCGACCUACGUGAACCUGCAGCAACGACGUAAAGUGGUACAAGUAAUCUCUCUGUGUUUUGUGCCUACAAGGUUACUCUCAAAUGAAUACUAGAGCUAAAGGAGCAUCUGUGUCAUCUCAGUGCACAGGAAAGUCUGGUGGAGAUUUUUCCCGUCAAAUUCAUACAUUAAAUAUGGAAGUUCAAAAUUG